CCAGACUCCUACGGGAGGCAGCAGUGGGGAAUAUUGGGCAAUGGGCGCAAGCCUGACCCAGCAAUGCCGCGUGAAGGAAGAAGGCUUUCGGGUUGUAAACUUCUUUGACAGGGGAAGAGCAGAAGACGGUACCCUGAAAACAAGCCACGGCUAACUACGUGCCAGCAGCCGCGGUAAUACGUAGGGGGCAAGCGUUAUCCGGAUUCACUGGGUGUAAAGGGAGCGUAGACGGCGACGCAAGUCUGGAGUGAAAGCCCGGGGCCCAACCCCGGGACUGCUCUGGAAACUGCGUCGCUGGAGUACGGGAGGGGCAGGCGGAAUUCCUGGUGUAGCGGUGAAAUGCGUAGAUAUCAGGAGGAACACCGGCGGCGAAGGCGGCCUGCUGGACCGUGACUGACGUUGAGGCUCGAGAGCGUGGGGAGCAAACAGGAUUAGAUACCCUAGUA
This 446-nucleotide ribosomal RNA is filed under the name uncultured bacterium. RNAcentral's name for it is "bacterial SSU rRNA". It matches the Rfam family "Bacterial small subunit ribosomal RNA", at positions 331 to 792 of the family's 1533-position model. The record is from RNAcentral.